GGCCCCGCGGGCGGACGGGCGCGGCGGGCCCCGGGGGCUGGGGAAUCCCUGAAUCAGUUGGGGGCUCCCCGGUAGGGGUGGGGAAACCAAAGGACCGAUUCCGGGGUCGGAGUCCGCGGCUCGGCGCGCGGCGAGUGUGAUUUGAAUAACAAAAGGUCGCCUCUCCCCGAGCUCCGGCGACCGGAAUCGCCCAGCCGGGAGCCAGGCCGCCGGGCCCGCCAAAGGGACGCAGCUGGUAGUGGAAAAGGACUGGCAAACGCUCUUUCGGGGCAGUCACCAGAGAAAAGCUGGAGUCCCAAGCCUCUGGUUUCAACACCACAGGCUGCUACAAAUCCUCAGAUGAGCAGGAAGGUUUUGGGCACAGCCCAUUCACCGCAGACAUGAGACAACUUAUACCAACCUUGUUACAAAGCAGGACCCAUCUCAGAUGUCACCUUCUCUGUGAAGCCUUCCCUGACCCAUCCAGACACUUGGGAGUCCCUCCUACAAUGGAGAGCUCCUGGAUGUGGAUACAGCCUGCAUGACCCUGGGAAGGAAUGGUACAUGCCCUGGGCUCUCCUGUGAGCUCCCUCAGGUAGAGGCUGGGACUCACUGGCCUUGCAUCCGAGUGCCCUGCUCCGACCUUACCAGCCCCAGUGCUCUCUCCAGCCGGAAUUCCAUACCCACGUCACUGCUCCACCCUUAACAUCAACUAAAAAGUAUGGAAUGGACUCAGGAGGCCUGUAAGGAAGGUGCCCGUGGGCGUGAUCUGGUAGCGGGUGACACCUACUGGAGAACUGUGAUUCUGCAGCCUAGCCUUAUAAAUACCACACAGACAGAUCCUGGCUGCCAGGCAGGCUCAGGGCUGGGUUUUAUCGAGUACUCCAGAGGUUUGAGAUUCCAUUACUUUCCAGAAACAAAGGUUAAACUAAACAAUACUCCCCAAAAAGGGCCUUAUAUAAUGUAUGUUACUAUGCUACCACUAACAAUAAGCAUAUGCAGAGGACUUACAAGUCCAUUAUCUCAUUUGAUCCUUUAAAAAUUGGGUAAGGCAGAUAGAAUGGGUAUUGUUGUCACAAUACCUAUUUUACAGGUGAGGUGCGGUAGAAGAGUGUAAAAUUGAAACCUGGGGAAGUCAUUGAAGUGGGGAGGGGAGGUCCAAAGGUUUAGCUUUGCCUAUAGUGUUUUAAUAUUUUAUAAGGAGAAUGAGAUGAAAUAUUAUUACUUACAUUACAAUGAUGAAUAUUAAAAGAGAAAGAAAGUGUAGGCUCAGAUCUCAAGUUGAAUUCUAGCUCCAUUACUUUCUAGAUAGGGGCAAGUGCCUUACCCUCUCUGAAUUGCAGUUUUCUUAACCUGAAAAGUAGGGCUAGUAAAUAGUAUAUCUCCCAGGGUUGAUGUGAGAAUUAAGCAAACCAAUAGGAGGCUGGUCCCUGGCUUGGCUCAACACACUUGUGUCUCCAUUUACCUGGCGGCGAGAGCCUGAAAAGUUCUGGAUAAUUUUUUUUUUUAAGCUUAAAUCACAAGGAAAAAAAAAAAGAUAAAAAACCAAGGAUAACAGUAGUCAUUCUAAUUAAAACGACGGUAAAUAAGUAGGCUUAUAGGGAGAAAAAAGGAAUUAAAGCCAUUGACCGCACGCAGCUGAAUAGCAGAGAACAUUAGCUGGUAGCCACUAGCUGAGUGACUGCUACUCUUCCCAAGGGAGGUCCUGCAAACAGAGCCUUGGCUGGCGCGAGUGAGGUCCCAGCAUGGCCUGUAAUCCUAGUGGCUCCAUCACAGACUAUUCCCACUGGGCUUUCCUGGGGCAGAGUGGCCUUUUCAGUGAGUCACUUUGACUCCAGUGGGAAAAGCCUUCUGCUGCCUCUCUUUUUGGGGGCAUGAUUACACUUAAAAGUGGAGGGAAAAAAGCCCUCAAGAAACAGAUG
Molecule: long non-coding RNA, 1901 nt
Organism: Rhinolophus ferrumequinum (greater horseshoe bat)
Lineage: Eukaryota; Metazoa; Chordata; Mammalia; Chiroptera; Rhinolophidae
Exons: 3
Source: RefSeq, a predicted model, not a curated record